AGAACGGUAAGCUAUUUAAGCUAAUGGGCUCAUACCCCACUGAUAGAGUAUACUCUCCAUUCUA
RNAcentral lists this transfer RNA (64 nucleotides) under Occasjapyx japonicus. RNAcentral describes it as "tRNA-Met". Lineage: Eukaryota; Metazoa; Arthropoda; Diplura; Dicellurata; Japygidae. The record is from RNAcentral.